UACGUAUGUCGCAAGCGUUAUCCGGAAUUAUUGGGCAUAAAGGGCAUCUAGGCGGCCCUGUAAGUCUAGGGUGAAAACCUGCGGCUCAACCGCAGGCCUGCCCCGGAAACUACAGGGCUAGAGUAUCGGAGAGGUGGACGGAACUGCACGAGUAGAGGUGAAAUUCGUAGAUAUGUGCAGGAAUGCCGAUGAUGAAGAUAGUUCACUGGACGGUAACUGACGCUGAAGUGCGAAAGCUAGGGGAGCAAAC
This 250-nucleotide ribosomal RNA is filed under the name uncultured Leptotrichia sp. RNAcentral describes it as "partial 16S ribosomal RNA". It matches the Rfam family "Bacterial small subunit ribosomal RNA", at positions 524 to 773 of the family's 1533-position model. Lineage: Bacteria; Fusobacteriati; Fusobacteriota; Fusobacteriia; Fusobacteriales; Leptotrichiaceae. The record is from RNAcentral.